CGAUUGUAUAGACUAGAUGUAUAGUCUAGAGAGUACAGAGCUCAGAGUCAGUUCAAAUAAAAUAUUUAACUAAAAUGCUCCUCAAUUUCUCAAUUCUUCCCGGACAAGCAUUAUCCAGUUGAAUCGGACCCUAAUCCGAAUCAGCAUCAAUAGAACCCAUAAAUUGGUUUCUCAUGGAGUCUUUUCGUAAAGAGUCGGGAAAAGACACUUAUUUGCAGACAACGAGAAACGGUCAACAGUUAUUUGCGAGCUCUGAUUUUGAUUCAUUCUAAAUAUAAGUUGAGCUUGAUCAGAAAGAGCUAUUCUUCGAGCUAUUCAGAUGCUUACCAAGCCUGUGCCGUCGCGCUUUUAAUUCUAACCCAAGCCUCAUCAGAGCUCUGGGAGAAUGGUCAGCUUUUAAGUCGCGUAUAAGUUUGCGUAAAAUUUUCUGAACUCCAGGUGAUAGAUUUGGCAUUGUUCUUAACAUGAAUUGGCAAGCAUCGAAAAUUGCAUCAAACACACCUGCCCUUUUACAAGAGUAAAUAGCGUCUUCAACUUUUUCUAUGUUGUGUAUUAUGUCCAUUGUAUUAGUUUAGGUAUUAGGUUUUUAUUUUAGAAUAAUUAUUUUCAACGCAAAAAAUUUAAAAACUAUAAUAAUUUCUAUGAAUGUCAAUGAAUGUGAAUGUUUUUCUAGAAUAAACAAUCGUCUAUAUAACCUUA
Drosophila nasuta is the source of this 699-nucleotide long non-coding RNA. RefSeq lists it as uncharacterized. The transcript is spliced from 3 exons. NCBI's taxonomy places the organism in Eukaryota, Metazoa, Arthropoda, Insecta, Diptera, Drosophilidae. The record is from RefSeq and is a predicted model, not a curated record.